Long non-coding RNA from Paramisgurnus dabryanus, 295 nucleotides. RefSeq lists it as uncharacterized. NCBI's taxonomy places the organism in Eukaryota, Metazoa, Chordata, Actinopteri, Cypriniformes, Cobitidae. The record is from RefSeq and is a predicted model, not a curated record.
GAACUUUAUUAAAUGCCAUGAUAGCCAAGAUGAGCCUGAAGAGGAGAUUUGGGAAGAUGCUGUUUCAUAAGUCUUUGCUUUGCCAGAUUAUCUGUGGUUGGGGUGUCUGCCAACGUGAUGCCUUGCUGGUCUGGUUUGAGUUUGAAGUCUCUCACAGACAGUCCAGAAGGUCUGGAGUCCAUCUUAGCUUUCAUUGAUGCUGUCAUCAUAUUGUUAGUGCAUGAGCCAGAAAGGAUGUGUGGUGGUGGCCAUAAGAAGACUGUCAACUAAACCAACAACAAAAUUCAUAUUUGCA